UGUUCUAACGUGGAUCCGUAAUCCGGGUUGCGGACAGUGUCUGGUGGGUAGUUUGACUGGGGCGGUCUCCUCCUAAAGAGUAACGGAGGAGCACGAAGGUUGGCUAAUCCUGGUCGGACAUCAGGAGGUUAGUGCAAUGGCAUAAGCCAGCUUGACUGCGAGCGUGACGGCGCGAGCAGGUGCGAAAGCAGGUCAUAGUGAUCCGGUGGUUCUGAAUGGAAGGGCCAUCGCUCAACGGAUAAAAGGUACUCCGGGGAUAACAGGCUGAUACCGCCCAAGAGUUCAUAUCGACGGCGGUGUUUGGCACCUCGAUGUCGGCUCAUCACAUCCUGGGGCUGAAGUAGGUCCCAAGGGUAUGGCUGUUCGCCAUUUAAAGUGGUACGCGAGCUGGGUUUAGAACGUCGUGAGACAGUUCGGUCCCUAUCUGCCGUGGGCGCUGGAGAACUGAGGGGGGCUGCUCCUAGUACGAGAGGACCGGAGUGGACGCAUCACUGGUGUUCGGGUUGUCAUGCCAAUGGCACUGCCCGGUAGCUAAAUGCGGAAGAGAUAAGUGCUGAAAGCAUCUAAGCACGAAACUUGCCCCGAGAUGAGUUCUCCCUGAGACUUAGAGUCUCCUGAAGGAACGUUGAAGACGACGACGUUGAUAGGCCGGGUGUGUAAGCGCAGCGAUGCGUUGAGCUAACCGGUACUAAUGAACCGUGAGGCUUAACCUUACAACGCCGAAG
RNAcentral lists this ribosomal RNA (725 nucleotides) under Salmonella enterica subsp. enterica serovar Infantis. RNAcentral's name for it is "partial 23S ribosomal RNA". It matches the Rfam family "Bacterial large subunit ribosomal RNA", at positions 2218 to 2925 of the family's 2925-position model. Lineage: Bacteria; Pseudomonadati; Pseudomonadota; Gammaproteobacteria; Enterobacterales; Enterobacteriaceae. The record is from RNAcentral. RNAcentral also lists the same sequence under 1 other name.